Phytophthora infestans T30-4 is the source of this 104-nucleotide transfer RNA. It matches the Rfam family "tRNA". Rfam says of the family: Transfer RNA (tRNA) molecules are approximately 80 nucleotides in length. Their secondary structure includes four short double-helical elements and three loops (D, anti-codon, and T loops). Further hydrogen bonds mediate the characteristic L-shaped molecular structure. tRNAs have two regions of fundamental functional importance: the anti-codon, which is responsible for specific mRNA codon recognition, and the 3' end, to which the tRNAs corresponding amino acid is attached (by aminoacyl-tRNA synthetases). tRNAs cope with the degeneracy of the genetic code in two manners: having more than one tRNA (with a specific anti-codon) for a particular amino acid; and 'wobble' base-pairing, i.e. permitting non-standard base-pairing at the 3rd anti-codon position. The record is from Rfam. Lineage: Eukaryota; Oomycota; Peronosporomycetes; Peronosporales; Peronosporaceae.
CCGAGUGUAGCUCAGUUGGUAGAGCGAUUGACUGUAGUGUUCUAUACUGUGUUUCAGUACUCUCGGAAAUCAAUUGGUCGCUGGUUCGAUUCCGGCCACUCGAA